RNAcentral lists this non-coding RNA (46 nucleotides) under Schistosoma curassoni. The record is from RNAcentral. Lineage: Eukaryota; Metazoa; Platyhelminthes; Trematoda; Strigeidida; Schistosomatidae.
GCACUGCUGAGGAGUCCCAUGUUAGGACGAAACGGCCGUUCAGUGC